ACAGUGGACGCGAGCAUCUUUGUUGUAAGUAAUGAAGAGCGUACGGUGGAUGCCUUGGCACCAGGAGCCGAUGAAGGACGUAGGAGGCUGCGAUAAGCCUCGGGGAGCUGUCAACCGAGCUGUGAUCCGAGGAUGUCCGAAUGGGGAAACCCAGCACGAGUGAUGUCGUGUUACCCGCGCCUGAAUAUAUAGGGCGUGUGGAGGGAACGUGGGGAAGUGAAACAUCUCAGUACCCACAGGAAGAGAAAACAACCGUGAUUCCGUGAGUAGUGGCGAGCGAAAGCGGAAGAGGCUAAACCAUGGGUGUGUGAUAGCCGGCAGGUGUUGCAUUCGUGGGGUUGUGGGGUUCAUUUUGUCUGUUCUGCCGAGCAGGCCAACAGUAAGAAAUCACAGGGUUAGUGGAAGUGGUCUGGAACGGCCUGUCGUAGAGGGUGAGAAUCCCGUACACGAAAACUUUGUGACUGUUGUAAUGGAAACCCAAGUAGCACCGGGCCCGUGAAAUCUGGUGUGAAUCUGUCGGGACCACCCGAUAAGCCUGAAUACUCCCUGGUGACCGAUAGCGGACUAGUACCGUGAGGGAAAGGUGAAAAGUACCCCGGGAGGGGAGUGAAAUAGUACCUGAAACCGUGCGCUUACAAUCCGUCAGAGCCUUCGAGCAGUUUACUGCUGGGGGUGAUGGCGUGCCUUUUGAAGAAUGAGCCUGCGAGUUAGUGGCAUGUCGCGAGGUUAACCCGUGUGGGGUAGCCGUAGCGAAAGCGAGUCCGAAUAGGGCGAGUCAGUGGCAUGCUCUAGACCCGAAGCGGAGUGAUCUACCCAUGGCCAGGUUGAAGCGACGGUAAGACGUCGUGGAGGACCGAACCCACUUAGGUUGAAAACUGAGGGGAUGAGUUGUGGGUAGGGGUGAAAGGCCAAUCAAACUCCGUGAUAGCUGGUUCUCCCCGAAAUGCAUUUAGGUGCAGCGUCGCGUGUUUCUCACCGGAGGUAGAGCUACUGGAUGGUCUAGGGGGCCCACAAGCUUACCGAAAUCAGCCAAACUCCGAAUGCCGGUGAGUGAGAGCGCGGCAGUGAGACUGCGGGCGAUAAGGUUCGUAGUCGAGAGGGAAACAGCCCAGAUCGCCAGCUAAGGUCCCUAAGCGUGUACUAAGUGGAAAAGGAUGUGGGGUCGCGAAGACAACCAGGAGGUUGGCUUAGAAGCAGCCACCCUUGAAAGAGUGCGUAAUAGCUCACUGGUCAAGUGAUCCUGCGCCGACAAUGUAGCGGGGCUCAAGUACACCACCGAAGCUGCGGCAUUCACGCAAUAGCCCCC
This 1306-nucleotide ribosomal RNA is filed under the name Rhodococcus erythropolis. RNAcentral describes it as "bacterial LSU rRNA". It matches the Rfam family "Bacterial large subunit ribosomal RNA", at positions 1 to 1220 of the family's 2925-position model. Lineage: Bacteria; Bacillati; Actinomycetota; Actinomycetes; Mycobacteriales; Nocardiaceae. The record is from RNAcentral.